RNAcentral lists this long non-coding RNA (466 nucleotides) under Olea europaea subsp. europaea. The record is from RNAcentral. Lineage: Eukaryota; Viridiplantae; Streptophyta; Magnoliopsida; Lamiales; Oleaceae.
CUCCAAUAAAUUUGGCUCACGCCGCUGAAGUCUCUCUUUGGGAAUCCAUGUACCGUCAGAAUCAAGUCGAUCUAUCCAACGAACAAGAAAGCACUGAAUCUCUCUAUCAUUGGUCAACACAAGCUGUUUAUCCAAAAUAACAUCAAUUUUAUUUUUGUGUGCUGUGAUAGGUGGGAUUGAAGCAGACAUGGCAAAAGAUUCAGUGUGGGAAUUCUCAUGUGGGAGUAGAAACGGGUCAUCAGAGGGGCUAAAAUAGCCGUUGUAAGCAUCGAAGUCCGUAACAAAUAAAAUAGGGUGGUGGUCAUAAUGUGAUAAAAGGUCAUUGACAUAGGCAUUUUGACCAACAUGCUUUGAAAUUUUAAAAAGACCAGCAUUACACGCUUGCAAUAUAACAUAAUCCCCAAUAUUAAAUUCAAAGUAUUGUUUAUGCCAAUCAACUUGAGGUUUAUAUAAUGCUUUACUUGCU